This 446-nucleotide ribosomal RNA is filed under the name uncultured bacterium. RNAcentral's name for it is "partial 16S ribosomal RNA". It matches the Rfam family "Bacterial small subunit ribosomal RNA", at positions 338 to 795 of the family's 1533-position model. The record is from RNAcentral.
CCUACGGGAGGCUGCAGUCGAGAAUCAUUCACAAUGGGGGAAACCCUGAUGGUGCGACGCCGCGUGGGGGAAUGAAGGUCUUCGGAUUGUAAACCCCUGUCAUGUGGGAGCAAAUUAAAAAGAUAGUACCACAAGAGGAAGAGACGGCUAACUCUGUGCCAGCCGCCGCGGUAAUACAGAGGUCGCAAGCGUUGUUCGGAAUCACUGGGCGUAAGGGGUGCGUAGGCUGUUUCGUAAGUCGUGUGUGAAAGGCGCGGGCUCAACCCGCGGACGGCACAUGAGACUGGGAGACUAGAGUGAAGGAGGGGGAAGCGGAAUUCUCGGUGUAGCAGUGAAAUGCGUAGAUAUAGGGAAGAACACUCGUGGCGAAGGCGGGUUCCUGGACAUUAACUGACGCUGAGGUACGAAGGCCAGGGGAGCGAAAGGGAUUAGAUACCCUAGUAGUC